RNAcentral lists this long non-coding RNA (1114 nucleotides) under Sinocyclocheilus anshuiensis. Its description in RNAcentral is "lncRNA (ENSSANG00000012209.1)". Lineage: Eukaryota; Metazoa; Chordata; Actinopteri; Cypriniformes; Cyprinidae. The record is from RNAcentral.
GAUUAGUUUGGCCAAUCAUUUCUGCUGCAGGACAGUUCUAUGCACCUGAUGGAUCUGAUGAGCGUGUGAUGGGUUUAAGCACAGACCAGGAAAACAGUCUACUUGUCACCGGAGACACAGCCGGAUUCAUUAAGGUCUGGGACAUCUCACAGUAUGCCUUAUCCGCUGCAGAUACGCAGUCUGCAGAAGAUCUGCCCUCGCUGUUGCACUCUUGGAGGGGCCACGAGAGGGCGAUAGUGAGCAGCGAGCUGCUGGCGUACGAGUCUCAACUCUUUGUUCUGAGCAUCUCGGUGGACCGCAGGGCCUGUCUCUGGACCCCUCAGGGAAGUUGUGUGGGCUGUUUUGGACAGGAACAGCAGUGGGAUUUGAGCAACCCGGACACUUAUCAAACCAACAGAGAACCUACCAGUCCAAUCAAAGAGGAGGAGGAGGAGGAGAGGACAGAGGACAGCCAAUCACGUGUCGGCGCUGAGAGCUUCAUCUGCUGGGGUGAAAGUUCAGAGGUCACUGGGACAAGCCUUAGUGCGGGUGAUAGUCAACAACCAGAAUUAGCUCUAGACCUGCAAAGAGGCCGUAUGUCUCUACAGACCCCAGACUCUGAGCGCUGCAGCUCUUUGGAAAGGUUCCCGCUGCCUAAAUACAGUAAGGUUCUGUCUGGAGAUCAUGCGUUUAGGGAUCUGGAGAUUAAGAUGACUGCGCAGCAACGCAGGCCACGGGAGACUGGCCGAGAAAAGCUCUGUCGCUUCGGGAACGAGUUCAUGCCGCUUCAGGCUCUGGAGCUGCCGGAGAUCAGUGAGCUGAAAGAUGUACCUUUGAAGCCUUGGAGAUUGAAGAUACGUCAGAUUUCCUCCAGAGGAGCAGAGGCGAGCUCUCGCAUGCUCUCCUCUGAAGCUCCUCUGCACUGUGAAACACUGGAGGACUAGACAGCCGUAUGAUGGAGGACACAGGGUUUAUUUUUUUUACCGCAGGUCAGUGACUGUACACUGAUUUACACUGUUUUGCACCGAAAUUCUCUGCCUUAACAGUUUAAUAGACAUCGCUUUUGUGCCAUCAUUGUUCAGUCACAUCAGUAUUUGUAUGCAAUAUGUAUUAUUUAUUACAAUAUAGAGGAAAA